This 229-nucleotide small RNA is filed under the name Streptococcus alactolyticus. RNAcentral's name for it is "5' ureB small RNA". It matches the Rfam family "5' ureB small RNA", at positions 17 to 252 of the family's 292-position model. Lineage: Bacteria; Bacillati; Bacillota; Bacilli; Lactobacillales; Streptococcaceae. The record is from RNAcentral.
UGGAGAAAUGUAGUGCACGUGGAGGUCAAUACCACCUGCUGUUAAAAUAAGGCCUUCCCCAGAAAUUGCUUCAGUACUUGCUCCGACAACAAAGUCAAUAUUAUCCAUAAUAUCAGGGUUACCACCUUUACCGAUAGCAACGAUUUUACCAUCACGGAUGCCGACAUCGGCUUUGACAAUACCUGUAUAGUCAAUGAUAGUAAUGCCUGAAAUAAUGGUAUCUACUACA